This is a small nucleolar RNA of Sitodiplosis mosellana (orange wheat blossom midge), 90 nucleotides long. RefSeq annotates it as small nucleolar RNA SNORD53/SNORD92. The transcript has a single exon. The record is from RefSeq and is a predicted model, not a curated record. Lineage: Eukaryota; Metazoa; Arthropoda; Insecta; Diptera; Cecidomyiidae.
UUCAAAUGAUGAUCACCCAAACCUUGGUUUCGCUAAUAAAGACUGAUUUAUUCGUGAUUGAAACCAUAUUUCUCUUGGCUGUCUGAUGGA